This 446-nucleotide ribosomal RNA is filed under the name uncultured bacterium. RNAcentral describes it as "SSU rRNA". It matches the Rfam family "Bacterial small subunit ribosomal RNA", at positions 26 to 518 of the family's 1533-position model. The record is from RNAcentral.
AGAACGAACGCUGGCGGCAGGCCUAACACAUGCAAGUCGAGCGCUGUAGCAAUACAGAGCGGCGCACGGGUGAGUAACGCGUGGGAACAUACCUUUUGGUUCGGAACAACCCAGGGAAACUUGGGCUAAUACCGGAUAAGCCCUUACGGGGAAAGAUUUAUCGCCGAAAGAUUGGCCCGCGUCUGAUUAGCUAGUUGGUGAGGUAACGGCUCACCAAGGCGACGAUCAGUAGCUGGUCUGAGAGGAUGAUCAGCCACAUUGGGACUGAGACACGGCCCAAACUCCUACGGGAGGCAGCAGUGGGGAAUAUUGGACAAUGGGCGCAAGCCUGAUCCAGCCAUGCCGCGUGAGUGAUGAAGGCCCUAGGGUUGUAAAGCUCUUUUGUGCGGGAAGAUAAUGACGGUACCGCAAGAAUAAGCCCCGGCUAACUUCGUGCCAGCAGCCGC